UGGGGAAUUUUGGACAAUGGGGGCAACCCUGAUCCAGCAAUGCCGCGUGUGCGAAGAAGGCCUUCGGGUUGUAAAGCACUUUUGGCAGGAGCGAAACGGCUCGGGCUAAUACCUCGGGCUAAUGACGGUACCUGCAGAAUAAGCACCGGCUAACUACGUGCCAGCAGCCGCGGUAAUACGUAGGGUGCAAGCGUUAAUCGGAAUUACUGGGCGUAAAGCGAGCGCAGGCGGUUAUGUAAGACAGAUGUGAAAUCCCCGGGCUUAACCUGGGAACUGCAUUUGUGACUGCAUGGCUAGAGUGCGUCAGAGGGGGGUGGAAUUCCACGUGUAGCAGUGAAAUGCGUAGAGAUGUGGAGGAACACCGAUGGCGAAGGCAGCCCCCUGGGAUGACACUGACGCU
This 400-nucleotide ribosomal RNA is filed under the name uncultured bacterium. RNAcentral's name for it is "bacterial SSU rRNA". It matches the Rfam family "Bacterial small subunit ribosomal RNA", at positions 355 to 747 of the family's 1533-position model. The record is from RNAcentral.